Molecule: ribosomal RNA, 443 nt
Filed under: uncultured bacterium
Lineage: Bacteria
Description: partial 16S ribosomal RNA
Rfam family: Bacterial small subunit ribosomal RNA
Source: RNAcentral
CCUACGGGAGGCAGCAGUGGGGAAUAUUGGGCAAUGGGCGCAAGCCUGACCCAGCAACGCCGCGUGAAGGAAGAAGGCUUUCGGGUUGUAAACUUCUUUUCUCAGGGACGAAGCAAGUGACGGUACCUGAGGAAUAAGCCACUGCUAACUACGUGCCAGCAGCCGCGUUAAUACGUAGGUGGCAAGCGUUAUCCGGAUUUACUGGGUGUAAAGGGGGUGUAGGCGGGACUGCAAGUCAGAUGUGAAAGCCAUGGGCUCAACCCAUGGACUGCAUUUGAAACUGUAGUUCUGGAGUACAGGAGAGGUAGGCGGAAUUCCUAGUGUAGCGGUGAAAUGCGUAGAUAUUAGGAGGAACACCAGUGGCGAAGGCGGUUUGCUGGACAGCAACUGACGUUGAGGCGCGAAAGCGUGGGGAGCAAACAGGAUUAGAUACCCCUGUAGUC